GGGGUCGAUUUUGGUUUCGACUGCGUUUAUUGAGCCAGGGGAAGCGUGCCGGUGCAGGCUAGAGACCACCGUAAGCGUCGUAGCAAAAUGAUAAGCGCCGAGAAUACUCAGCGCGACUACGCUCUCGCUGCCUAAACAGCGACUAGCGUGUCUGUCGGCCCAGGUUUGCCUCUGACCUGGUAGCCGGCACCGACUAAGAGGCUUGCUCAUCCGCUGCGUUGGCAGGGCGGAUGGGGACGUUUACUGGCAACUGGGCUCAUCAUCCGGACGUGUUCGACCGAGCCGGAGAGCCGAGCAGAGAUGAUGCGCGAACUGCGCACGGAGAAGCCCUGGCGAGGUGACGUAGGACCCGGGUUCAAUUCCCGGCGGCUCCACAA
RNAcentral lists this transfer-messenger RNA (377 nucleotides) under Corynebacterium epidermidicanis. RNAcentral's name for it is "Standard tmRNA". It matches the Rfam family "transfer-messenger RNA". Rfam says of the family: Bacterial tmRNA, also known as 10Sa RNA or SsrA, is named for its dual tRNA and mRNA-like properties. Its role is to liberate the mRNA from a stalled ribosome. The record is from Rfam by way of RNAcentral. Lineage: Bacteria; Bacillati; Actinomycetota; Actinomycetes; Mycobacteriales; Corynebacteriaceae.